AGGAGCUUCUGGAAGUGUGGUUGCCCAAAUUCUCUCAAAGGAGUGGAAGCUAGAUAUUCUGAAAUAAUCAUACCCUAGUUAUUUAUCAAAUAGUUAAUAAAAUUUUAUAUGUAAACAUGUACUUAAAACCACUUUACACUCUUCAAAUGCUUUACAAAUAGUCACAAAUUUAAUCCUAAUAUAAGACAAUGAAUAGGUAACGUUAUUAUGGGACUUUUUAGAGAUAUAGAAACUAAGAUGGAUAGAGGUUAUUUAACCUUCUCAAGUGCGUUAAGCUAGUCACAUUAGAGUCAGGAUUUGAACCCAGGCAGUCUGGCUUCAACGCCAAGCUUCCCCUCAAUCACUUCUACCAUCAGAUAAUAUUGCUUCAUACUCACAGUGUUAGCACCAAGAAUGUAAGUUUAGCUAACUGAUCAUAUGAAUUUUGUUGAAAUUCUGUUUAUUUUUCUUCCAGAGAACUCAAUAUGGAACACUUUUUCUCUUUUGAUUCAGACAACCUAUGGAGAUUUUGAUCCUGUACUGAAAGGAACUGAAUGUGGAAAUUUUUGGAGUGUCCAUUCAAUGCCUCCCUGGAGUCUCUGCCAAAGGAAACAUUAGACACGACUCUGUCUGGAUCCAGCUACUACAUCUAUGAUGCUGUGGAUGUGGUGGCCUGAGCCCUCCAUGAAAUACUUUUUAUAAAAGCAGAACAGGGGUCCAUAAUGGAUGCAGGCCAGCUCAUGUUUCUCCCUUAGCAGGUUGCAAGUAAACCUCUAAUGAUUGUAGGGUCUAAUUAGCAACAGUGUCAACUCUUUUAACUAGAAAUAAUUGAUUAAAAACUUUCACUGUGAGAGGUAAGUGUUCAAGAGAAAACAAUGACAAUUCAUCCCAGGGAAUUAAAAAAUUCAGGGAUUUCCAAAAUCUAGUUCUGGCCCUAUCCCUUGAUAUCUUAAAUGCUUCUGGGGAAAGGACAAUUUAUUUGAACUUCCUGCAUUUUUCUAGAAAGGCUACUGAUAGCUAAAUAAAUAUUUCCCCAUUGAAAUUUAAAAUGACUUUUGGAAGCAAGGAGUUUGAUCCCCUUUUUACAGAUCAGAACCCCAAUACUAUGAAAUAUAUUUUAAUUCCCCAAGUCCUUAUCAAUUCUACUUAGAUGAAUUUGUACAUGAACCUAGACUUAUAUAAAUCCAAAACCUAUGAAUAAUGUGUCAUGAAACUCUUGCUUUCAGGUAUGAGGAAGUGAAUGUCAUGUCAGAUCUAAAUACACACAUUUGUUGUGAAUAUAUAUUUGUUCAUGUAUAUAUACAACCAUAUAUAUAGUUAUGUAUUAUACAAAUAUCAGUUGUACAUUUAUAUAGAAAUUAUAUCAAUUAAUGCGUGAAGAUUCUGUACUAGGAGCUUUCAUCUCUUCUCUCUCAUUUAAUAAAAUAUUUUGUUCAAAGGUAGGAAGAAGCAGGCUGUCUUUCUUUGUCUCUUCUUGAGCUCGAGGAAACUCCCUAGCACCCCUAAAGCAAACCUCAUUGCUCAAGGUGCAGCUCAGGUUUAGCCCCACAGCACUCCCUGGACGUGGAAUCUUCAGGAAUGGUUUAAACCUCACCAUGUGCUCUCUGAGGGCAGACAAGAAUGCCUGCUUCCUUAAGCGUGCAGAAUAGUAAACACUCCCCAAAUUGAACUUAUUCAGAGGAUGACUAAUAUAGAGGGGAAAAAAUCUAAUUGCUGGGCAACUCAGUAUCCCCACCAGUUCGAAUCUGGGUUUUCUGCCUUCAAUUUCCAUGCUCAUUUCAUUUCCCAAUUAUGUCUCCCUUUUAGCUCCACCCAUUCCUAAGAAACACCCAAUUUAAAAAAAGCACUGGAGCUCACGUGUCACUGGAUGAGAAAAGAAACUCUGUGUCACAGCAUGUAAUUCUGAACUAUAUGAUUUUCCUAAAGGUCUUGGACUUCAGGUGAAAGACGUUCUGUCAGCCAGGAUUCAGGAACAUCCCUCAGGAAGAGAGAGCUACCUGCUGCUUUGUCUGUGUAUUGUGCCCAGAGAGAGAAAUAUGUAAUCAGACAGAAAAGAAAAGUGUCUGUGGGGCUCAAGUUUGAGUUGAAACCAGGCUCAGGGUCCACCUGUCCUCGCUGAUCCGUGGAUUUCUGUGUGACCAGCUGACACCUAUGGAGCUGUGGCCCUGACUACUACCAGCUUGCUCAUCCCUCUACUCACACAGUCACCCCUCCCCUCACUCUCAUUUAUGCUUCACCUGUGAAUGGUGGUCCUGGGACAGCCACUGCUGGAGCCCGGGUGAGCCUGGGGGCUCCUCCCACUCUGUCCCUCCCUGAUGACAGCCCUCGCCACAGCUCCCGAGCCGGCCACCACGUCCCUGCAUACUUCAUCAUCACCUGUGCCACCAGAAGCCACCACAGCUUUGGGACACAACCUGAAGACCCUCACAGUCACCUUCCCCAUCUCCACCCUCCAGUAUUCAUCAGACAGGAGCAAUGGCUCAGCCACGUUCCACUCCACUGAGAGGGUCCUGCAGAGCCUGGUGAGACCCUGGUUCCAGCAGCUCCUGGCUCUGCACCCUGGAGUUUAUGCAUGCAGAGAGAACACCAGC
Long non-coding RNA from Diceros bicornis minor, 2570 nucleotides. RefSeq lists it as uncharacterized. The record is from RefSeq and is a predicted model, not a curated record. NCBI's taxonomy places the organism in Eukaryota, Metazoa, Chordata, Mammalia, Perissodactyla, Rhinocerotidae. The transcript has 9 exons.